GCCGGGGUAAGCUUGGUGCUACCUCUUUUCUAUUGUUUGUUAUUUUCUUUGAAUAAGAGGAUUGAGAGUUUCUAAAUAUUGUAAAGUGAAUUAUAGAAUAGAAAUGUGAUUGGUAUUAUUUGAGAAGAAGAAAGAUUGAAUGGUGAAAUCUGGUUGUAGUUCUGUAGAGAGAAUGAGUCUGUAUUUGUAUGAAACACCGUAAUGUGAAUGGCAGUUCUAUGUAAAGAAUUUCAGUGAUUGGAAUGAGGGUAAUUGUGUGCUGAAAGCUGUAAGGGCUUAGUAUUACAAUUGGAGAUUAUGAGGGUGAAUAUAUUGGUGGAAAUAGUAGUUAUUGAUAUGACUGAAUUGCUCUGAGGAAGAGACCGAUAA
RNAcentral lists this long non-coding RNA (369 nucleotides) under Physcomitrium patens. RNAcentral describes it as "long non-coding RNA (PPAT_LNC008415)". The record is from RNAcentral. Lineage: Eukaryota; Viridiplantae; Streptophyta; Bryopsida; Funariales; Funariaceae.